AUUGAACGCUGGCGGCACGCCUAACACAUGCAAGUCGAGCGGCAGCAUGCUUAGUAGCAAUACUAAGUGAUGGCGAGCGGCGGACGGGUGAGGAACACGUAGGAACCUGCCCAAGAGAGGGGGAUAACUAAGGGAAACUUUAGCUAAUACCGCAUAAUCUCUGAGGAGAAAAGUUGCCCGCAAGGGUAGCGCUUUUGGAGGGGCCUGCGUCCGAUUAGUUAGUUGGUGAGGUAAUGGCUCACCAAGACGAUGAUCGGUAACUGGUCUGAGAGGACGACCGGUCACACUGGGACUGAGACACGGCCCAGACUCCUACGGGAGGCAGCAGUGGGGAAUCUUGGACAAUGGGGGCAACCCUGAUCCAGCGAUGCCGCGUGGGUGAAGAAGGCCUUCGGGUUGUAAAGCCCUUUAGGCUGGGAAGAAGAGUGCGGGGUGAAUAAUCCUGUACUUUGACGGUACCAGCAGAAUAAGCACCGGCAAACUCUGUGCCAGCCGCCGCAGUAA
Molecule: ribosomal RNA, 504 nt
Filed under: uncultured bacterium
Lineage: Bacteria
Description: partial 16S ribosomal RNA
Rfam family: Bacterial small subunit ribosomal RNA
Source: RNAcentral